CAAUGGACGGUACAACGAGUCGCAAGACCGCGAGGUUUAGCAAAUCUCUUAAAGCCGUUCUCAGUUCGGAUUGUAGGCUGCAACUCGCCUACAUGAAGUCGGAAUCGCUAGUAAUCGCGGAUCAGCAUGCCGCGGUGAAUACGUUCCCGGGCCUUGUACACACCGCCCGUCACGCCAUGGAAGCCGGGAGUGCCGGAAGUGUGCAACCGCAAGGAGCGCCCUAAGGUAAAACUGGUGACUGGGGCUAAGUCGUAACAAGGUAUC
This 264-nucleotide ribosomal RNA is filed under the name uncultured bacterium. Its description in RNAcentral is "partial 16S ribosomal RNA". It matches the Rfam family "Bacterial small subunit ribosomal RNA", at positions 1228 to 1500 of the family's 1533-position model. The record is from RNAcentral.